Molecule: long non-coding RNA, 2771 nt
Organism: Choloepus didactylus (southern two-toed sloth)
Lineage: Eukaryota; Metazoa; Chordata; Mammalia; Pilosa; Megalonychidae
Exons: 3
Source: RefSeq, a predicted model, not a curated record
GGUGGUGUUGGGCUGCUUUUCUGGCUUGUGUCUGUUUAAUGUUCCCUCUUAUGCAGUAGUGAGAAUGUUGUAUCAUUCUACGACAGCGUAUAUGUCGACUAUUUCUUUCUCCGAGCAGCAGGCGAGCUGAGGUAGAGAGAUAGAAAGGAGUAUGGGAGAAGUGAGUUCAUUCACUACACCUACAGAGAAAAUGAGAUGAGUUGAGGGGCUGGACGGGGGCGCGGUGAUUAACCGCCGUUGUCAGUGGCGAACCAGAAGUAGUUACGGAUUCUAGAAAGACCUGUUAUAAUGCGUAACUGCGCGUCCUUCUGCCAACAUUUGUUUAGGUGUAGCCCAUCCCGAAGACAAUACACUGCCUUAGCCGUUUGCAAUCUUGGAUUCGCUCCGGAAUAGAGGGAUUUGGAAGUGACCCACCUUAGAGAUGUUGCAGUCCAACUUGCCAACCAGAGCAAGAAAUCUGACCGAUAACCAGCCUUUGCUCGAAUACCACACGUCCAUACUAAAUGGUGUUUGCAAUAUAUUCAGUGUAUAGAGUACAUAGACAUCUAUAUGACGAAACUCAUCAUCCAAGGACCUGUGGCUGAAAGAUUUUUUAAAUGGAAGAGAAGAAAUAGUGAUCCUCAGACUGUAAAUCAAACAAAUUAAAAAUGGAAUACUUCAGAAUUAAACAACUGCUUCCUAAGCUUUCUAAACCUAAACUCAGGAGGUAAAUAUCCAAGAUGAAAGUGUUCUGUUGUAACACAUUGGAAUUAUGAUGACAAUUACCUAUUGUUUGGAUUUAUUUCCAUUGAAAAUAAAUAUAGCUGAUACUCAAAUGUGCAUUGUGCACCAAAACAUACUUUAAUAGCUCUUAAAUCACUAUUAAGCUUUGAAGUCGUUUGGAAACAAGGGUCAACUUGAUUAUGUAGCAAUAUACUCUUGAUGUAUAAAAUUGUCACAUCAGAUAGUGAAAAACAUACCAAGGGAUAACAAAGUUAGCUUAUAUAUAACUCCUGUUGAAUAAGCUAGCAUGGUUGGGCUCGGCAACCCAUGGCCUGAGCAAAACAGGCCUGCAGAUCUUUGGUGCACAGCAGUCUGCAUGACGUAGGCAGCUAAAUGUUUAACCUAUUGCCUUUCUAAGCCAGUAAAGAGAAAAAGGGUAAAUUGACCUUAAAAUGUAACUUUAUGAGAAGUAGGCAGGAAGUGAGGGGCUCAUAGUCUCACAAAAAGAGCAAAAUGUAAUUGUUCAAGUGUUAUUCUAGUCCUUCCUGCACCACCUCCCAGGUCAGAGUGACCUGUUCCUGCAUCUGUGCUCCCCCCCACCCUUAGGAAUGCCUUUGUCUUAUAAGGCUUAUAAAAGGCUUUCUGUCCUCUUUGCAUUGCUCGGUUGUCUUCCCUGCGAACGUGAUCCCUGCCUGGCCUGAGGGAGCUGUCAUUAUCUCUCCAUGACUUCUCACCCUGUAAGUAAGCCCUGAAAAAAAGUUCAUGUAUCUUCUUUGGGCUCUCUUGGGCUGCGACAAUUGGCAAGCCAGCCAGGAGAAUCAAAUAGCUGCCAGCCAGAGGCUAAGAAAGUCCCAAGCACUGAUGACAUGAACUUGGGGAGGGGAAAGGAGAAGGCCCCAGGCGGGAUACCAGGGAGGCCUGUGAUGUCUAUGUUGGAAGGGCUGCCUACCCUCCCAGUGGAAUGGAUGUCUAUGUGGGGAGGGGUAGCUACCCUCUUAGAUGAAUGGAAUCUGCCAAGGAAGUAUGGAAAUGUUUAUAACUCUCUGUCUGGACAAAUAGCCGUCCUGUAUCAGGCCACAGGAUCACUCGGGAUUCAGAAAGAAAAAAAGGGUCGCCAGAUUGUGGCUGCGGUGGGGUGGCCAUUGUUAGAGGCUGUAUGCGCUGCUACUGAGGAAGUUUUAGCAGCAAAGGUGGCUGUAAGCCACCUGGGAGGUAAAUUAAAGGUAGAAAAAGAUAUGAGGCUAACACAAGCAGAAUUGAAAGAUGCUCUAGAUAAAUGUUUAGAAAUAUUGGCAUACCAGCACACUAGAGUAGGAGGGCAUAAGCUGUCCAAAGGGCAAGUUAGGCGUAUCCUGGCUUCCCCUGACUGGGACCGUAAAGUGUGGGACACUGUUGACUACUCAUCAAAAGAUGAUGAGCCCCUGUCUGACUGGGAAAUUGAUACUAAGGAAAGUAGGCAUACUCAACCUCUGUUCUAACAAAGGAUUAAAGCAGAGGAAGUUCAGCACCCUGAUCCCCCAUGGAGAGAGGAAGAUGGGGCAGUGGCAGCAGCUUCUGAUCAGAGGGUGCUCAUUUCAUCCUGAGAGUUUUCCCGAGGAGAAUUAGGAGAUAUUAGUAACUAAUACUGACAGAAACCUAGGGAGCCAUUAGCAAACUGUAUGCUCCUGUUUCAUUUUGUGUUAAACCUUGCUAAUAUGUUUUUUAGAAUAUUUUUAGAUUUUUUCCAGUCAACUUGUGUUAGGCUUCACAUGGGGAAAACAACAGUGGACAUUUGCUGUGCAUCCACAAAGAUAUCUUCAAAUGUGGAAACCUCCAGAAGAGCCUGACUACUCUAUCAAGUUCUUGGGUAUUGUCUGGUUGGGUAAAACUAAGGCUAUUCCUUCAGCUGUUGUUAAAAUGCAAAGUUAUUCCACAUCGCCUACUUCUGAACAGUUGAUGGCUUUUCUUGGUUUGUUAAGUUAUUAGGAAAUGUUUAUACUCUAUGUAGUACAAAUUUUAAAACCUUUGUAUACCCUAAUUAGAAAAGGGAAAAUGUGGGAAUGGGAUUUUCCACUGCAGGCUGUGUUUAA